Molecule: long non-coding RNA, 29826 nt
Filed under: Gallus gallus (chicken)
Lineage: Eukaryota; Metazoa; Chordata; Aves; Galliformes; Phasianidae
Source: RNAcentral
UUUGGUUUGACAGCUGAAGGUCAAUUAGAAUAUGGACCUAAAAACAAAGUAUGUCUAUGAGUCAACUAUCUUACCCUAUGAAAAACUCCUUGUGGCUCUACAGGAGGGCCUCUUCAACCUUUAGACAGAAACUGUUGAUCAAGUGUGGGACUAGGACUCAAUUAAGUUGCACCUAGGCUCCUUGCCUCUGUGAUUCAAGUUGUUUAGAAAGUGGGGGAGUCCAUCCUGAACCUUGUGAGUCCCUGCAUCCAGUAGGCUCUGCAUAUUUUUUUGAGAGAGAACCUACCUAUAAGUUACCGCAGAUCAGAGGAGGCAAAAUUUCUUCCAUGUGUCAGCCAUGUCAUUUGUUAACCACUGAGAUUCAAGAAGUGUGCUGUUAGCUCAGUAGUGGAUGGUGGCACUGUACAAUGUUUCUACUGUACAGAGUGGUUUACAAGUCAACAACAAAUGGUAACUAGCUCUGUAAAAACAUGGCAGCUUGUUCUCUAUGGGGAUAGGCUAUACUUCUUCAAAGGAAUAAUUUGGAGCAAAAAUUCACUGGGGGUGUCUAUAGACUUCUUACUUGGUCUUGCUUGAGAAAAACAAAUAUAACUGUGAAUGUACGUGCACGUGUAUGUGUAACAGAAAAAGACACCAGUGAACUACAGUGUCUAUGGCUUAAUCUGCAGCUUGUUAGUUUGGGAAAUAUCUCACUUAUUUUAUAUCUAAAUAGAAGCUGCCUUGCCAAUAGAUCAUUAAAUGUGAAACAGUUUCUAAUUUAAUUGUUGUUAUUCUUCCCAGUCAUAAUUGUCUGCUGCAAUCUGCUACUUUGCAUCAUUCCACAUCUCCAAGCUACGUACAAUAGUGUAGACAUGAAAAUCAAUGUGUGUGACACAUGAUGCAAGAACUGUUAUUUGCAAUCAUGUAAUACUUGAGAAGUUUCUAAAUAUUUGGAAGGUUCCACACUAUUGAAAACAGUAGCAAUUCUGUAAGUAGAACCUAAUCUGCUAUGUAAGGUGCAAUCAGUGCUGCUAGCGCUGACUCACAUGACUGCUUCCUAGCAUAAUCAUUUCUCAAAUUAAUUUUAAGAUGUUUGUUUAGAGGAUGAAAAGUAUAAUGUAUUUAUUUGACUUGACAUAACAUAGCGUUACUGUGAGGUACAGGACAAAUAAAAGGAUUUUUCAACUUACUUCUUAAACUUUUCUGUUGGUAAUACUAGUCUACAAAAAUGCAAAAGAAUAGAACUUCAGGUUGUAAGUUUCUUAAAUGCUAUCAUGAGCCACUGACAGAUCACCUGACACUGAAGUCACUGGAAAUACAUUUAACUCUGUGGACAUUUUGCAAGUUACUCUCUAAGGAUAAUUUCAUGCUAUUCUGCAGUAUUUGUUCACAGGAACAAUUAUUAUCAAAGACAGUUAAUAUUUUACAGCAUAUACAAGCCAGCUUCUUUAUGCAUAAAUGUUGAGACAAGCUUUCUGCCCCAUUCAGCCAAUGUUAAAUGAAUAAGAUAGGGUAAUAGGCUAUAAAAAGACAAAGGGCAACUUUUAUGGUAAUAAAAUGCUGUGCUUCUUUGCUUUUUAUUCCACUUACUUGAGGGUACUGUUUCCUUUCAGGUGCUGGGCAGUCACUAAUACAACUGCACUAAUGUUAAUGACUGAUAGUUUACUCCACAGCAGGGUCAGUACAUGCUAGUGUUAAGUCAACCACUGCAGAUAACAAUUUAUUAUUGGUGUUCAAUGUAUUUAUGGGAAGUGUUUUAAGUGCACUGAUUUCAGUUCUCCUUUACAUUACUUUAACUCAGUGAUACAUUUGCUUAGCAGCGUGCAUUCACCUGAACCUUGUGGUAUUCAGACUUGGUCGUCUGUGGCUCUUUAAAAUUAGAAGGCCAGAUUCACCUUUUGGCAUCUGUUCUUCAGCAGUCAAUAACCAGUCAAUGACAAUUUCCCUGACAUUCUGGUAUGGAUUUGCUGUGGGGAAAUAAUACAAAUAAUCUAAAUAAUACAUCCUGAGAACUCUAAAAACACUAACUGUGGGGCUACCUAGCAUCAGACUGACUUCUUGUAUUCCCACGUCCACAACAACCCAUGUGUACAUCUGUAAUGAAAUGGUAUGCUCUGGGAGCGCAGCUUUGUAGGUGGACAGAAACAUAAUGGUUUUUUUUCUCUCUGAAAUUUAUCAGAACUAAACUGUUUUCAAAAUUACUUACAAAUCAGAACAUUCUAACAAAAACUUACUGUGGGAUUUUCUUUUUUCCCAAUGAAUUCUAAUUGGAAGUGAAGAAAGCAAAUGUGAAAAGUUAGAAGAGCUGACACUGAAGGGACGUGCAUCUGUUGCAUUAAAUCUAAUUGGUUGCUGUAAAUUAAAAGGGGAAGCAAAAUAGCCUCCAGCUAUACAAUUAGCUGGCCAUCUAGCUGGCACUGUUAGUUAGCAACUGAACUUUUCAAAGCCACUGUGUAAGAGAAAGUAGUUAGAAAAAAAAUACAUAUAUUAUGUAUUAUAUUAUGUAUAUAUUCCUUUUUCACUCUUUUGAAACACAGUGUUUAAUAUAGUUACCUUUUCAAACUCUUCAUCUCUGUAAAGAGAUCACACCGGUUCCUGCAUACACACUGCUUUGCCUUCAGUCCUUCCUUUUGAAAGUGUUCGUGUGACAGGCAGGAAUUCAGGAAAGGUCAUGAGAUAAUAGGAACCAGCACCCUCUGAUAAGUCAGGUGGCUUAGAUGAGGGAUAUGUACUAAGUAGAUGUGGGGUUUUUGCUAUCAUUUGGAAGGGGAUAUUGUCAGCACUGAGACAAUUUUGUCAGGGAAUAAUGGAUUCUAGAGUUUUACAAUUUAAAACUGGGGAAAAUGGAAGCACUGUUGAUACAGUGCUGAGCUUUAUGGCUUCCAGAGCUCCUCUGUCAUCAAAGGGAAGCUUUCUGUUAUGUUUAGUUGCAAGCAUGCAUCCUGCACACUUUCUGUACCUUCAUCCUCUCCUGUAGGUGUAUUCAGUGAGUGUCUGAGGGCAGGAGAAGCAGGCAAAAUGUACAACUUCUAAACAAGUGAAUGAGACAGUCAGACUUUGGGCAAAAGAGGCCUGUCUCCCUCAGGAUUCCUCUGAACUGAUGGACAGGCUUUGGCAUUCCAGAAAUUCACAACACCUUAAUGGGGCUCCUCUAAAUUGCCUCUUACCAUUGGCUGCACAAGAAGCAUUGGUUCUCCAGUUGUUAGAGAGUCUGUAUGGAAGCUUUUCUUAGUGUACACAGGAAAUGCAUGGAGAUAUUUGUAUCUUACUCCAGCCAAAAUAUGCAAAGGUAUUACUAGAAGAGACAAAAAACAUAAUUUAAUUAGAGAUACUCUUUGAAAAAAGUCUGAAAAAGUCUGUUAUGCAAUAUUUUGGGAGUCUUUGAAAUAUAAAGGACGCAUAAUAAAAGUGGUUCUUGUAAUUAGCAACAGACUUGGAAGGCAGAAAACUCUGUCCCAGCAUUUCUUAAUGCAAAGGUCUGCUAUGACCUGAUAAAGAAAUGUUCAUAAGAAAAGAUAAGGCUGUGUGGGCUGAAAAAAUAACGUUGUUAAUGUAACAUCAUGUUGUCUUGAGGAAGGAAAGUGUUUACCCAAAUGCACGCUACCCUUGUUAAUUUGCUUGGAUUCAGUGCUACUCAAGGCAAUCUUACAGAAAGACUGUAAAAGUUGUGGGGUUAUAUUUGUGGUUACAUUUGUGGAAUAAAAGGUAAACCAAGCACAAUUAUGAAAAUGGAUUUCUUGUUUGCACCCAUGCUCUCAGAGCUAACCCAGCUAAGAAGGCUACUCUAGAAUCAGAUCUCAAUUGGGUUACAGACCUUAAUAUGGCAGUUGACUGAAUGAAGGUAUUUUUAAGCAUUGGACAGCUAGUAUGACAGUCUCCAUGCAGAGACACUUUUAAAUUGUGUACUUCAGUUCUGGUUUGUGAUGCUGAACAAAGACCUUUCAGUAUUUGUUAUACAUUUCAGUAUUCAAUAUACAAUUCAAAAUGUCUCAGAAGCAUUUUGUUUGAUAACUUUAUAUUGAAUUAUGUAUAAGGACACUAACAUCUUACACAACUCAGAUGUGAGCCAUGAGUGUUGAGGACUAUUUAAGAUGCUUGCAAGGGUUUAAUGUUCAAUUUCGGUUCAAUUUGUGUUAAGCUUGUACAUCAGGCUCCCAGAUCUACUUCUGCUCUACUGCUUUUAGUGCUGUUGUAUGGGGUUGUUUUAUCCAAAGUGCAGGACUUUGGAUGUGUGACAUCUUAUCAAUGUCCCUUCAAUCAAUAUUUAGCUCAGUGUAAUCUGUGGCUUGCUAUUGGAUGGAGAACGUACCUGUCAUACUACUGACCAUUGGUGUUGAGAUGUACUUGAGAAGUAGUUAUGGAAGGUAUAGUACUGUUUCUUUUAAGCAUCCCAAGUAAUUGGGUAUGUGAGGAAUCAUUUAAACUUUUACAAACUGGCAAUGGUUUUCCUUUAAAAACUUUUUUAUUGUGCAUUGAAUAUUUAGGAGUACAGUAUGUACUGUGACUAGUGCAAAAGAAUAUAGUUGUCUUUUCUUUCCAAUAUGCAUUUCAUUUGUGUGAAAGGAAUUUCACUUCCAUCUGUGAAAAGAUACCUUUUCCAUGAUUUAAAAUUGCUUUAAGGUCUUCACAAAGAUGUGAUGUGAUGAUUGCCUCACCACAACUAAAGCAUUUUUUUAACCAUGCAGUUAAAAACUUGUUUUUGUAUAUGAAUAGAAGUUGUCAUUUAGUUGUUGGCUUUGUGAUUUUUAUGCUCUCUGCAUAUUUCACUUUGUUGUAAGUAAAUUCCUUUUAGUACAUCCAGAGUUUCUGAAGUUACAUAGCCAAUGUGGCAUCUAAGCCCUACUAAUUACAGCUGUUUUUCAAAACUGUCCGAUUCAGGAAAUGAUAAAUGCAGCUGAGUUAGUCUUUUGAGAUCUCUUGCCUUGGGGGUAACACCCAAAGUUUCUUUGCUGUGAGGACAGUGACGUGGGGCUUCUUCAAAUUUGUCUUCUGUCUUUUUUGCACUGUUAACAGGUACAAAACAAAGAAAUGAAGAUGUGUAAGACAAUACCUACAUUCAUCCUGUUGUUUACAGGAUAUUGUGUUAAAAAUAUGCGUGUUGCUGCAACGGAGCCAGAAGCCAAAUCAAGAACAUCAGUGUCACUUGUUUCUAAUUCCACACAGAGCUUUUCAACAGACACACAAACUUUUCAACUAACGACAACAAGUUCUUACCUUCUAGAUUCAGAGACAGGAAUUGCCGAUUCCUCCACAGCAAUAAGUAAUGCAUCUAUAUUAGUGGCAGGACUCAGCAUUUUCUUUGUGCUGUUCUUUCUUUGUGCAAGUCUUGGUGUUUGGAGUGCACGGAAAUUGUCGAAGCGAGAUUCAUUUGACGUUACUCCUGCUGCCCCAUCUGGUGAAGCUUAGGUGACCUUAAGAACAUCAAGACAUGAGAACCGAUGAGAAAAGAAGAAAUGAAAGUCCCAUUAGUUGGUAGCUAUUUAGAGGGCUAUUAUUUCCACAAGAGCAGAAUAUUAAAAAAAAAAAUAAAUUAUUGAAACUAAAGAAAUCUUACUUUCCAAAGUUGGCACACUUAAGUUAUGUCUAUACUAAUGAAUUAAACUUAGCACAGGAAUAUUGCAACUUCUGAGACUUAGCUGGAAUAAUCCUUGUUUAUGCUUAUGUUGUGUUCUACCUAUUGGGAACAGCUCCUAGAAGGCUCUAACUUCUAAGUAACAGUCAAGUUACAUGAAUAAACAGUAUUCCAGUAGAUGGGAGUUUCCUAGACAUUGUUUAAUUUAUUAGUCUAGAUGCAUAGCCUUCUUGUUUAAUGCUAUUUCUAAAUGAUAUGUUUGAUGUAUCCCUCAUUUAGGGACAGGUAUUUUCAGUGAUUAAUCAAACCUCGCCACUGCAAACUUUAAUUUACUCACAGCACUGUGUUUGGCUGCUGCAUUGUAACUGUAAAAAGCUAGUCAUUUAAAUGUAAGUCUUGUUGUCAUAAGCUUAUUACAGUGCCUUAGGCUGGAGUGUAAAUCUACAGUUGAACUGUGUUACAUUUUCUCAGUUUGCAGAUGCUCCCAUGGGAAAGAAUAUUCUCUUGCCUUGACCUUGGGCAAAAGAUGAGCAUUCACACUGAGUGAUAGUGCAGCGUAAAAUCAUUCUGGCAUGUACUUCUGAGAAACUACAUAAGUUUAAGUGUGUGAAACCCAUGUUGUGACAAAACUACUACCCAAAUUCUGUAGCCCGAACAAAGGCAUGCUGUUGUUUUCAGCACAUCAUCUGUUUUAUAAGAGGGGGAGUAAGGAAAUUUCAGGAAAAACUAUUUUUAUAGAAUGUGAAAAAUAUGUUAAGACUUUGAUAACAUUUAUCCAUUAAAGUCAGCAACUCUCUCUCUGCGGUAUUCACUCCUCUAUAUAACUGAUGAACCUUUCUUAUACAAGUUCUAAUCCUUAAUAAUAAUCAUCAUCAUCUAGACUCAAAGCUGAAACCUAAAUUUUAUUGGAAGGAUACCAUCAUUAUUUUCCUAACUGAGUAGCACGUACUGUGUCAGAGACACACAGUGGCCGGUGACUGUGGUGGGGCUCUGCCUGAGCAAUGUGGGCAGUGUGGGGAAGAAGGGGCCAGCAGACGUUUGCCCAAAUAGCUGCGUUGCUAUAGCACAUCAGGAGAAAGAGAUCUGAAGAGGUAAGUCUGAGGCAGUCUGAGGUUGCUUUAUGAGAACAUUCCUGUGUGAGCUUUAGCAAAGGAACUUCAUUUCUGAAUUUGGGAGCCUGUAGUUCAAGACAAAAUUGUUAGCGUGUUUGUACCUCAUAUUUUUCUGUGAAGAUGAAUACUUUUGAGAGCAUGCAACAUGUGGGUUCCACAGUAAUGAAGCUAUACUGAGAAGUGUACAUAUGAAGGAAAUCACAGAUUAUGUCUGCAAAUCAUACCAAGCCAGUUAUUUUUCUAUUAACAGUAGAGAAGAAUACUGUGCCAGCUUUCAGCUUGAAUUAUCAAUUGAUGUUCUAUGCAAAUAAAAACAUGCAAGUAUUUUUUUUUUGACAGUCUGCGUUUACUUCGUAAGUAAAAGCUUUACUUCAAUACGUUACUUCAUUUACUUUAUUUCAGAGAAGUAAAAUGUCUCUGUACAAACUAAUGGUUGAAAAUUAGCCACUUUUUCUAUUUUCCCAAUACAGAAAGCUGUUUGUUGUGUCCAGUUAUCAGUUUAAGAAUGAGAUAAUUAUAUGAACUGUAUCUGCAGCAGUACUAUUUAGGAUGGGAGAGUUGUGCCAUAGCUGCCUUGUAUAUUAUUUUUUUAAAUGCACAUCGUAUGUGGUUGUGUUUUUUUUCCAUUAAAUAGAAGUUUAUUAUAUGCUUAAAUGCCUUCCUAGAUACUAGAUCAGGGUGCACUAGGCAACAAACUGAAUGUGGAAGAAAUAAGAAUAAACAUUUUUCUAUUUUCCAGGAAUAAUUAAUACAAACCAUGUUUAUAUUGCUUUUUAUUAGAUAUCUGCAAACUUAAAGGUGAAUGACUCCACUUUUGGGAAUGUUUUUGUAGUGGCUGUAUUUUAUCUGAUCUUUUACAGAACUUCUUACUAGAAGUUUAAUACACUAGCUGUUAUUUUGUGUUCACUUUUUUGUUAUUGCAUUGUUUAAUGUUUGUGUAAAAUUCCCUCUAGCUUGGGUGACCAGUCCCGUGAGAGUGGAUGCUGAAUACUUAGCCAAUAAACUACCUGUGAACUUGAAAUUAUUUGGGUAAAUGAAGCCGGUGCAACAUUUGACCUGACACAUGCACUCACAAAGCUGUUUGCUUGGCUCAUUGUGCUGCAAUUUCAUUGUGUGCUGAUCAGCAGAGUCUGUCGUUACAUAUGGAUGGAGUGGAUGACUGUAGCUGCUUGCUGCAAAACACUGGGGAGGUGGUAUGAAAAAGCAAGUUUAAGCAAUAUGACAGCAGAAAAGCCUGUGGAGAAGGACCUGGGGGUCCUGGUGGACGAGAAGCUGGAUGUGAGCCAGCAGCAUGUGCGUGCAGCCUGGAAAGCCAACUGUGUUCUGGGCUGCAUUAAAGAAGGGCUGGCCAGCAGGGAGGAGGAGAUGAUUGUCCCACUCUACUCAGGUCUUGUGAGGCCCCAUCUGGAAUAGUGCAUCCAGGCCUGAGGCCCCCAGCACAAGGACAUGAAGAUCUUGGAGUGGGUCCAGAGGUGGACCACUAAGAUGAUCAGAUGGCUGGAGCACCUCUCCUAUGAGGAAUGGUUGAGGGAACUGGGCUUGUUUAGCUUGGAAAAGAGAAGAUUUCGGGGAGACCUCAUUGUGGCCUUCCAAUACUCUCCAAUACAAGGGAGUGUAUAAACACGAGGGGGAACAGCUGUUUACUAGGGUGGAUAGUGAUAGGACAAGGGGGAAUGGUUUUAAACUGAGACAGGGGAGGUUUAGGAUAUUAGGAGGAAGUUUUUCACACAGAGGGUGGUGAUGCACUGGAACAGGUUGCCCAAGGAGGUUGUGGAUGCCCCAUCCCUGGAGGCAUUGAAGGCCAGGCUGGAUGUGGCUCUGGGCAGUCUAGUCUAGUGGUUGCAUGUAGCUUUAAUAAGUGAAAUGCCAAGGCUAAUUUUAGUGAACUACUUUGAAUGUAUCAGGUAUAUCUAGCAGCAGGGUUUUUUUACCUCCAUUUUAAACUAAAAGAAAAAAUAUUCUGGAGGGCCCUUCAGUUUAUAAUAGUCAGCUUGCUUUAAAUUUUAUUUUGUAGCUCCCUCCAGCAGAAAUGCUGAAAAUUGAACAGUAUAAAUUAGGUAGGUAAGUGCAGAGAUGUGUAAGUCAUCUUGAAAAUUUUCUGCAUUUCACGUACUCUGAUUAACAUAGUCGUGUGGUAUAUAUAGACUGUCAUGAGCUUACUGAGGAGAUUGCUUUCUGUCCAUUUGUUAAAGUUGUUUUGAAGUUGACUGUAGGAUGUGGAUUUUGACUGCCUUAAUGAAUCCUAUUCAACAGCAAAUAUUGCCAGGGAGGAUAUUGUAUCUCAGUAAUUGCACUCUAGGUGGAGAAAAAAUACCUCAGUUCUCCAGAAAAAUGAGAGGUGUAGUCAUAUAGAGUGUUACUUGCUGUACAGAACUGCAGAAGAUGCCAGUGAAGGUGCAGUAACAUGGUCAGUAGAGCCCUAAAGGUUAUGCUUUACUCCAGCUCUGGAAAAUUCUGGGUUCUGAGAAAGAUCAUCAGGAAAAUCACGGUGAGCAUCUGAAAAAAGCUCGGUCCCAGCAGAGCACCCUACGUAAGUCAGGAAUGCGUCAGUGUCUUCUCUCAUUGCAGUUUGCAUGCUGUUAGUCAUUCAAAGAUUCCCCAUAAGAGUAGAAUCACAUGCACUAACUGGAUCAGGAAGUUUCUUACAUGAGAACAUGUGCGCACUGAAUGGCUGAAGUUGGAAGGGACCUCUGGAGGUCAAAUGUGUGCAAGUAUUUUGUAUUUUUCUGUGACAAACAGAUACAAAUUCAAUUCUAAAAAAAAAAUCCAGCUCUCCCUCUUCUGUACAAAAUACAGAAUCAUCACUGCAAUUAGCAAAUCGGACUCAAACUAUGUAGAAGAAUCAAAUAUGUUUAUUCAGUAAGUGGCUGUAGCAGGCUUUCAGAUACAGAGCUGCUGAAAAUGGAAAAGUCUAGUAUAGCAGUAAAGUACAGUGCUCUAGCACUUUCAAACAGUAAAUGGUGGUAGAUACAGUACUCUAAUUGUGAAUUUCCAAGGGUAAACCAGAUAUUGUUUUAUAGAAAUAUAUAUAUAUAUGCCGACAUUAUUUCUUCCUCAUUUAUAAUAUUUGGCUAAAAUCUAGUCUUUGUACAAUUUGUUAAUGGAGAAAUUCCUUUUAAAGUUUCAUUGUUAGGCAUAUUUAUUUCAGUGAAUACAAUUUCACAGUUGUCUAUUAUACUGAGUUUGCAAAAUGUCCUAAGCCAGUCAAAAAUUAGCCUCAGGUUUUUGCUCAUCACAAGUAAGCAUAGAUCUGGUGCCUGCAAGUGAAGUUAAAUGAAUGUCUCUCUCUGAAUAACACAAAGGAAAAAAUAAUCUACCAUCCCUUGGUACACAUUUGCAGUUUUAACAGCAGAUAGGUCAGAUAUGGCAGGGUCUGCAUGUAUGAAUAGCAAUAUUGUUAUUCAUCCAUCAGCCUCAUUACACCUAGGCAGUCUGUCUGUGCCCUGUUAUAGGCCCUUAUUGUAACCUGAGAGUAUGUUUUGAUCAAGAUCCUGGCUUUAAAUAAGUACAUUUUAAGAUGGGAUUUUUGUGGGGAUGAUUAACGUGACAUCCCAAAUUCUGAUCUUACAGUGAUUAGAGGGAGAAUGAAUUCAUCACUACUGCAUUUUGAAUCCUAGCACCUCGAAACACUCAUGUUACUCAGAAAUCUGGAUUUGCUUUUUUAUCUGCAUAUUGAAUUUCAAGACCGAUGGUAGACCUUGUUGAUAGAAAAAUUAUCUGUAAUCAUUGGAAGGAUUCCUAUAAAAACAGUGACAUGGCAAAAAGUUUUAUAAACACAGGAGGACGUAUCAACUUUGAAGUCUGUAUAUUCAGUACUAGACAAAUAGGAAGUUAUGGCUAGCUUAACUUAAUAGCUGAACAGAAACGGAACAGAGGAAAGAAACCUAUAAAACUAGAGUUAGGGGGUAGCAUGUUUAAGUUUUUCAAAGAAGAUUAUGAAUUCACCUUGUUCAAGCUUUGCAUUUUUCAUACAGUCAGGCAAGACUUAGAGCUGUGGGGAAGAAAAGGUACCUUUUAGAUUUAGAUUUAAAGGUACUGGUAAAUGGUACCUUUAUAUAUUAUUAAACUCAUAAAAAGUCUAUUACAAAAAUAUUUGUAGCACUUCUGUGAUAGAAAUAGACAAUGAUGAGCAUUUGGGUUUUCUAGUGACUGCAGAUUCCGUGUUUGAUUUUGCACAUGCUUUUGCAGGAGUAAGCAGUGUGCAUGAAGAGCAACAAACACAUUAGGAAGAUAGAGAAGGAUUAAGGUGAAGAGGUAGGGAGAGAGAAUUCCUUAAUUACUGCUCAAUUCAGCCCCUGAUUUUAAGUUAUUUUGAUGUAUUCACUAUUCCAGUUUAUAAAGUUUAUAAGGGUCUUGGGUUGAAAUGCAUCAUUUUUAAAAGCCAUUUAUGCAUUUAAGACCUUAAGUCACAGAUGGUUUGUGUGCUGCUGAAAUGAAAUUUAUUAAUGUAAAUUUGGUACCUCUUCGGCAAUGUACUUUUUUUUUUCUGGGAAUCCAAAUUGAUUUCUUCCUGCUGGGCUCCUGAUGAGUUUGUAUUAUUGUAGUUAAGAUGAAGAAACUUCAUUCUGUUCAUUUUAGGCUAAUCAAGCAAAAGUGAAAUACAAUUACUUGGUUGCAGGUUACUUGGUUAUUUGUCAGAAAACUUAAAUUGAUUUUAGAAAUGAUCAUAAGAGUUUUGGUAUCUUUCAGUAUCUAGAUCUCAGUUCUCUUUCACAGAUUUUACUAACACCUGUUCCGGCUAGUACCAAUAAAGAGCACAUCUUUUUUUUCCUGUGCAGGUGUAUUUGCUGGGAAGCCAAUAGAGGAAAUCAAGCACUUCUGUAUGUGCUAAUUAUAAAUACGAUAGGCAACACAACUGAAUUGCAUGUCAAUGCGAAAAUUAGUUGAAAAUUUAAUUUUGGAUGGAAAUUACCCAGAACAUCAAUAGAUGGUUUGGCAUCAUUUUUUUUGGCCACAGUGAUUUUGCUUCUCAGCAAGCUAGAGCUUUCGGUUUGGUGCUCUGCCAAUGCCAUCUAAGACCAUAGGCCAUGAAUUCAUGGAAAAAUAGCAACCUGUAUGCCAAUUGAACUGUCUGCUCUCCUCUUACGAUCAGAGUUGUGUAACCUGCAAAAAUCCUGUCUUGUGAAUGUUUCUCUCACCUAUUCAAAUAAUUUACUUGCCCAUACAAACAUAGCAAAUAUCCAUAAAAGAGUAAAGGAAAGAUAUCUUGAAUUUGAAAUAAAAAUAAAGUUUCUGUAAUUAUUUGCUAGUCCUGAAAGAGUUUGUGGGGGUUAGCAGCAAAGCCCUUCGCUUACAUGCAUGUAAAUCAGAGCAAUGUAUUGUGUUGGAAAGGUUGUGUAUGGCAAGCAUAGUUAUCCACUUCUCACAAAACAGCUUGAAUCAGCAACUCAGGAUGUGACUGUGCAAAGCUAAUGGAUGGGUUGUAGAAGAGAAAACAACUACUGCAAGCAAGGAAAAAAGAAAAACAAACAACAAAAAAAGCUGUACUUUCCAUCUUCCUGGCUCUAGAACCUUAAAACUUUCUUUCACUUCUGGUUUAAAUGCACCAUUAUUUCAUGGCUUAACGAAGGGCAUUCACAGAAGAUACAAGAAGUCAGAUGUACUGAUGAAUGGGGCCUAAAAAGGUCUUAGAAGGAAGUCAUGAAUUGUGUGACAGUAUUGUAAUCCCUGUCUGCUCUUCACCAAGGUGUUCAUACUAGAUUCAAGUAUUCAGCCAGCUGAACAGAUGGAUGCCUGAGACCUAUUUACAUGGACUUGUAAUGAAUUCUGUUUGUUGCCCUGUUCUGAACAAAAUGCAGACAAUUAAGAAAAAAAAGGGAAUCUGGGAUUUCAUUCAUAUUCAUCAAGGAGUAUGCUUUAUAAAGCUGUUUUCCUACUACAGCACUUAAUUCUCUGCCCUUUACAUUGCUACAAGUGGAAAAAGAGCACCAGGAAUUUUCUCCUACUUUCUCCUUUAUUUUUCCAAGCUUGAGAAAUGGAGCAGCAUCCCUUCCUCUGCCUGGGGAGGUGCGUUACAUGUUGGUGUGAGACUGUGCUGUGUGACUGAGACACCACAGUUCAGUCCUACCUCCUCAGAAGGCGGUGUCUGAUGGCAGGAUAUGCCCUUAUGAGAACAUACAUAUUUUCACAGAAUCUUCAGUUUCCUGUCAGUAAGACAUGUUAGGUAUGUUUUAAUGACAACUCCAGACUAGAGGAGGCUGGUGCUAAGUAUUUUGCAGCUAUGUAGAUAAUGCCAACAAAACAAAACAAAAAAACAAACAAACAAACAAAAAAACAAACCCAGAAGCUGAAUGUCAAGUUAGAUGUAGAUGUAAUUGGGCCAAGUAUUAACUGAAGAAAGUGGGUAUAGCAGCAGGCCUUUGAAUACUAGAGUAGGCUUGGCUUUUACCAUGAAAAAAUUUCAUUUAGACUCACAGCUAAAAAUGUCACUGCUGUGUGUGUACUCACUUCAGCUCAGAAAAUGUGGAAAAUAUGAUCUUCCAAAAUUCCCUUGUGUUUUUUAACCACACAGAAUCCUGGAACCCUCAGAGGUGAUGUGGAUACACAGAACAAUGCAAAUUUUAUGUAGUCACACAAAGUACAUGACCAAAAUGCUUUCCGAAUAUAAAUAAUACAGAUACAGAUGUCCCUCUUUGCUAAGAUGUAAGAAAUCACAAAGUGUAGUUCUAAAAUGCAAUGGCUAAAAGCUGUGUUUUCAAUUUAAAGUGAGAGCUGGGAGCAUGUGAAGAAUAAAUGAAAUGGUGAGAUUAAGCAAGACUGUGGGAUAAAUACUCUGGUUCAGAUAUAAAGGCUUUAGUGACAAUGUCAGAUGCCUGAGGGUGAGAGUGAAGGACAGAAAAGAUCAGGGUUAUAAAUAGUUUACAUAAAUUGAAGAAAUAGGUCUAAGAAUUCCAGAAGAGUAUAAGGAUGAAAUAGCAAAGAGUACAAAAAAGCCAGUGAGUAGAACAGAUGGGGAACUGAGAUUUGAGGACUGAAACAGCCAAGAUAAUAAGCAACCAACAACCACAAAGUUGGAGAAGAAAUCAUUGAGGGCAGGGAAGACAAUUGGAGCUGGAGGCUUGAAAGGCAGGAGCAAGACAGAAGAAAAUGGAAGAGAGAUGUUUUGAAGUAUAGUGAAAUCACGCAGCGCAACAUUUACUAUUUGAAAACUAAAGAUGAGUACAGGCCAAAGUCAUGAGUAUUGCUUUGAAGUGCCCAAAUGUUAGAAAAGACCAGCAAGUUUCAGAAUAAGCUCAUAUCUGACCUGAUUACUCGAAACCAAUGCUGUCUUUAUAAAAUAGGAAAAACAAAAUUGCACUUUGAAGCAAUCCUGAACUCAGUGUGCUUUGGCCCAAAUAUUGAUGAUGUAAGAAUUCUCCUUUUAAAAAAAAAUAAAGAAUUGUACCUUCAGCAGCUUUACAAACGCAGCUGUUGGGCAUAGGCUUCAAUUAUAUGUAAGUCAGUAUAUUGGUACCAGCUUGUGAAAAGAUCGUUAUAGGAUUCCUUUUUUUCCUUUUUUCCCUUCAGGGUCUUUUAGUUAACAGGAAAACCCAAGUGAACUGGUACUUCCAUCUCAGAUUGAAAUCAGCUGAAUAAAAGUUUUCUUUCCAAGAUUUCCUGGCAUGAUGGAAGAGAAAAAUCUUGCAAUCUCUGAAUCUUACGUAGUAAGUGAAUAAGGAAAUAGGAGUUUUGUCCUGUAUUUCUGAAUUGUCCUGUACAUUUCUGAAUGUAAGUCUUGUAUUUUUUUCUGAAUGGUAGAAGCACUUUCUAUGGCAAUUUCUGCACAGCACCACUGCAGUCUGAUUGUGUGGACAUACAGGUAGAUUUAAAGAAAACAAGCAGCUUUUUCAAAAUGUACUUUGUCAGCUUCAUAGUAUUUCAUCUUUGUGGUACAAUGCAAGCUGAGCAAGUUAAUGAUUAUCACUAUAUCCUUAUGAAAGGAUAGUAAUAAUCUUUCUUUCCUAUUAUUGAGGAGAGUUCUUGCUGACUCUUGACAGGUUUGCUGGUGGUGGUGUAAUUGAUGGUUGUUCUGUUUUGUUUUUGUAGCAGAAGCCAGGUUCUGCUUUAUCACCCAUUUUUUUGUUAACCUAACUUCGGCCUGUUCCAGAGAAAUAUUAUUAAACUGUAGAAUGGGCUCAGAUUUUUGGAAGCUCUGUUUUGAACAGAGUCCAGUGUGCAUGGUGUUCAAGCAGAUUACUUCCUUUGCUUCAUGAAAUGACUGAUGAAGUUCUCUCUCUUAAAAAAAAAAAAAAAAAAAAAAAAAAAAAAAAAAAAAAAAAAGGCCUUCUAUGGUGUCAUGACUGGCUGGAUAGAGGUGAGAGCAGAGGAUAUUGUUUAUCUUGACUUCAGCAAGGCUUUUUGACACUGUCUCCCAUAACAUCCUUGUAAGUAAGCUGAGGAAAUGUGAGGUAGAUGAGUGGAUUAUGAGGUGGAAUGAGACAAUUUUGCAGUAGUGCAAGAAGAUGUUAAGACUGACACUUGUUUAGCCAUGGCAUUAUAUUUUUAUUAUUUCAAAAAGCUAUUCUCACUGCACUGCAUAUGUCUUCACAGAGUUAAACAUUUUGGAUCUAAAGUAGCAGGAGACACCUAGUAUUCCUACAAAAUUAAUGGAGGAGAUUUUGGAGAUCUUCUGGUGAUCCAGUUUUUGUCCAAAGAAAUUGUAGCUCUGGUAAAUAUGAAUAGAUAAUUUCAAAAUACAUUUUCUGUACUUUUCCCUCAUCUUUCACCCAAUUCCAAGUGGUGUCUUAAUUAAACGUGAAGUGAUAUCUAAGCUAGGUCAUUACUUCUCCGCUAGUGAAAGCAGAUUAGAGUAGAAAUUGACAAAAACUUCUACAUGUCUAAGGAAUUUAAAUAGCUGUGUAAAAAAUGGGGUGUUUUUGAAUAACAUUGAGUUAUUCAACUAGAUGUUGAAGUUUUCAGCUAGCUUUCAAAAUACCCAGUCUUGGUGUGUAAGCUCUGCAUCAAGCAUGCAUCUAUUUUAGCACAUAGAUUCAGCCACACUAGGGAAAAAGGCUAUUUUUAAGACAAUGAAAUAUUUCAUCUUUUACUUGGAACAUACACUUGGUUGAUGUUAUAUGUUAACAUUUCUACAUUUACUUACUUUAACUGAACUUAUUCCUUUUUGGUCAGGGAAUAAGAAGGAAAAUAAAGUAGUACCAUAAACCAGCUACAUAAAAAGUUUUAAAAGCACAGGAAGUGAAAUGCAAACAAACCAAUUUGUUUCCACCUUAACUUUUUUUUAUUCUAUUUCAUUUUAUCAAUUCAGGUUGUUUUGCUUUCUGACAGGAAAAAUAUCUUACUUUUUUCUUCUGCUCUAAAUCAUUUUAACAUCACUGGGAAACUCUUAUAUCUUACUUCAGCCUGACGAAAAUAUUUGCAGAUGUGCAGAAACAUGCUCUACAUAUGCUUUAGAGAAUGCCUGCUUUAGAAGAUGCAGUAAGGAUAAGACAGUGAUACAUAAUUGCAGCUAAUUUUUUGGUUGACAAGUUUCAGCAUCUUAUUUUAGGUCUAUUGCAACGGUUAUGAUAGAUUUCCUUGAAAGAUUUGCUGUUGCAACAGCUUGUUGAUCAAAAUUGUCUUUCCUUGGUUGGAAUGGAAUUUGAGAAUUAAACGGGCUAAAGAAGAAACCAAAUUUCAAGGGCAGAUCAGACAAUCCUGUAAAUCUUCAGUCAUCACUCUAGAGACAGACUGAAAAUAUGAAGAGUGCACAAAUUGUUUCAUGGAAGAUCUUCAAGCAGAGUUUAAUGUUUUUGGUUUGGAGAACUGGGGUUUCUUCAUCUUAAUCAAAUUCUUGUCUCAGGCACAAAUCUUUCUCCUUUCCUGCCACAGAACAAAAAACGACCUACUUUUUCCCAGCUAUACCUUACUCUGGAAAUAGAAACACAUGCUCGUUCUGAAGAUAUGCCACUAAGGGUAAAAAACCAUCUUUGAGCUGUCACAUCACUGAAAUCUUUGGCAAAUGCAGGAAAGGAGGACUUGGCAUUCACAGAAGCUGGCUGCAGCUGUGCUUUAAUUGAUACUCUCCAGUAAUACCAUGAAAUUGAUCACUUGUUAAAAUCUGAAGCUACUUUUUAGUUCAAUAUUUCAUUUAAUCAAAAUUGCUCACGAAGAUGUAUAAUGUUUCUGUACAUACAUGACAGUUCAGAUGUGACUGUGGAACAACCUUUUUUUUCUGUCUGACCCGAGUGAUUUAGCCAUUGGACAGCAACUAAUUUGUAUAUUUAAUAAAAUCUAGAAAUGUUUAGUCUAUCCAUGUAAAGCCUUAAGAAAAAUCCCCUCAUUUUCAGAAUAGUUUCUGCAUGAAAUUUUGAUGCAUUGGUGUAAGUGUUCUUUUGGGGGUUAGUAACGUGAUUUAUAGCUGCCAACUGAAACAUGAAGUGUUUAGAAAAAAAGUGCGUAUUUAAUCUGCUAUGGUUUUUUAGAGAUGCAUCUGCAGUUUGUUUUGUUGUAGUUUUUGGAUACAUACUCCACUUUUUUCUUCAGCAAGUCCAUCCUUCUUUUGCAGCUAAAGCUGGUAUGUAAGUUUACAGAUAACAAUAUACAGACUGUAUUAGACAAGAAGCCUUGCAGAUAAUUCAGACUGGAGAUAACCAGAUCUGAAAAAAAGAUGUUUAUAGAAAUGUCUAGGUAUAGGUAAAGCCCCUUAGAGGUAGGAUACAUACUUUCACUUGCUGUAGGAAGCUGAGUGGUAGUCUUUCUAAAUGUUUUGUAAAUAUUUGGAACUUCUGCUGUAGUUUUCAAAACAGUUUUUAGAAAAGCUCUGCAUACAGACACACCCAGAAGAUUGCCAAUACUGUCUGCUGUAACUCAAUGCAGGAAUUAACAUUCUUUUCCUGUAUGCAUGCCAUAGCUGAGCUUCUGGUUAGUUUUAUCUUCCUUUUUCUUUCUUUUUUUUUUUCUCCUUGUAAAUCUCCUCCCAUGUUUGUAUCCUGUGUCCUAUUUCAUGAAUAGUUCAGGACAUACCCUCUUCAAAAAAAGAAAAUUCAGAAAAGAUGGUUAUUCUUAAGCAUUGUGGCAAAACUUGUGGUUACGCAAGUAAAAAUGGCAUUUACUUACUCAGAUUUUUUUUUUUUUUAAUUUUUAUUUAUUUAUUUAUUUUAUUUGCACAUAAGGAAGUCUAUCAGGCCUUCUGUCCAUCAUGGGCCAGUUACUGAGGCUGUAUGCCCAGUGCACACCAAUUGCAAAGCUGUGCCCACAUUAUAGUUCUGUCCUCAGAAAAAGUACACUGGUUAACAAGGUUCAUCUGACAGCACUGCCCACUCAGCUACGGGGCCACAAAUGUAAUGGGCGCAGGAAAAAUUCAAAAUAACUUGUUUAAAAAAAAAAAAAAAGUGUUUUUUGAAUAACUUGUUGGAAUGUGUAGCAUUUUUCAUGGCACCGUAUUUAUUAGCAUAGAUAAGAAAAGUGUCUUCAGUAGGCUUUCCCUGGUGAUCGUUCAAAAAAAAAGGUAAGUCUGGCCAACAGCUCCUGAAGGGAGGCAGGAAGAGCACGAUUAUGAGGCCGCCGUUUUGCAGCAGGGGGCGCCAUUUUACAGCGGAGGCCGCCAUUAGAGGGUGUAACGGACCUGAUGCUGCUCGUCCUCCUGAGGGUGAGGGAUGAGAAGGCAGAAAGCUCAGGGUGGUACAUGGCUGCAGGUAUGGGGUGAGAACUGUGAAGCUGCUGGGAGGAGAUAUGUGAGUGACCUCAGGCAAGCUCACAUGGGUAGCAACCAUAUGGUGUCACACCACAGGGGCCCCUGGGCUGAGGUAUCUGUAAAACUGCAACAUACUAACCUGCCGUCUGCAAACUGAGAUUGUGUGCUUCCUUGUUUGCCUUGUGACUGGUAAGGGUGAUGGAUAGUGCAGCUGAUAAGAUGUAGAACACAGUUAUUUUUUUGUUUUUACAUUAAUGCAAUGCAUUUCCCUGUCAGCUUGUGGUGCUCCAUUGGUGUGGUACAAUGUGGUGAGUGUGGGGUGGAGGCAAAAUCUGAAAGUUUUUUGUGGAAAACCAUCUUUGUUUUUCUAGCUAGACCAACAGCUUACCUUUAUUAACUUGGAUCAUUUGUUUCAUCCCACAUUAUUUUGCAGAUGAACUGAAAUAAUUGACUUGUCUCUAGUUCAAUAAAACUCAAAUUUAUCUUAGACCUACGAAACAAAAUCGUAAUGCAAUAUGUGUAAGGCAGCAUUUUAUGUGCUGAUCUGAACAUGGAAAGCUGGGGAAAGAAAAUAUGAAUUCUGAUACUUGAUCUUGAAAUUCUGCAAGUGUGGCCGCGGUGUCUUUGAAAUAACUCCCUUACUAAAGGAAAACAUUCUAAUUCUUUCUACCUGAUUAGAAUUUAUGACUGUCUAAAUAUGCUAUGUGGCUGAAUUACAAGACAUAUGUGUAUGUUAAACUGGUGACUGUGGAAAGUAACAGUGAUAUACAACUUUGAGAAAAAUUAUCAAAAUCAAAAGCUGAUGUGACCAGUGGACUCUAAUAGAUAUAAGUAGUCUGAGUGCUUGUCAUUUGUCCACAUGAUCUUAAUGUUGGCAGCCUGCUGAAAGUGAUGCGUGGGAAACCAGUGCAAAGUGCUGAUUUUUUUUAUGCUAAUGGGGAAAAGUCCAUAUUGUUCAAAUUAAAUCCUAAAGCAGAAACAAAUCAUCCAGCCAAGCCCAUCCUAUGGAGUUCCAUUGAAACAGUUAGUGGUCUCUUCUGUGACCUCAGAGUUAUAAAAAUUAAACAGUGUUAGGGGGCAGCUGUUUUCAAGUGCUUCUGUCUGCUGAAAGCGGCUGAGAUUCUCCUGCAGAUGGCUAUUUAAGUUAAAAGCCAAAUGGAGAGAUCACAGCAAUUAGUGCACAUUGGCUUCUAACUGCAUCAGAGUGAAUAAUGUGGGAGACAUGAGCCAGGACUCUGCCUCAGUCUGUGUUUUUUCCCACCAGAAACUGAGUACCAGCAAUUCUUUUCAAUUAGGGGGGGAAAAAAAAAAAAAGAGGAAUUAAAAAGAGGAGGGAGAAUUUCUUGAUGCUUCACUUGAACAAAAUAAAAGAGAUUAUGCAAAGAUGGGAGGAAAGAAAAAGUAUUUCAAAGGGAAGAACAGCCUACUUCAUAGCUCUGACUGGAUUUGUUGUAUACUGUUUCUUCUACUUUUGCCAUAUAGUGCCUACCCACAGGUUCAUUGCUGGCUCAUAACAGGGAAUGAAGCUAUACCACUUUUUUUAUAUGUUGCUUAAGCCCUGGAAAAGCAUAAUAGGACUUCAGCAUUUUUACUUAGAAUAACUGAAGGGAAAACUGAUCUAUCAUCUGAAAGAUUUAGAAUUUCCUGAGGAAAAAUGGAGGGCCAAAACACAAAUUCACAUUUUACUUUUUACUGGAGGAGCUCUUCUGUGUAAGAGCUAUACCAUAGAGCAUCAGCUUCACUAGAACUGGUAGAACAUUAUCCAAUAUCAGGUACCUUUUUCAUCACUCCUGAAUAUCUUCAAAUUUCUGCUUUCCUGAAGGUUUCUAGCUAUUCACUGGAAUGACUUGGAGCAAGGAAAUUGCUUUGGAAGAUAGUAAUCAGGGAAUUAGUCUCAGUUUUCAAGUCAAGAAAUGCCUCUGAUGAAUGAUCAAACCAUCAUUUUUUCCUUCAGGUCCUUUUCUUUGUGGGCAUGCAAAACAAAGGCAAAAUGUUAAAUGGCCAUUGUUCAAGUCAGCAUUCAGCUUUUGCCUCCAGCAAAUGGAGUGAUAUAAGUUUGAUUGCUUUAUGUUGUUGAGUUGUUACUGAAUGACUUGUCAUAAGCAUCUAGGGACUAGUAAUCUGUAAGUUGGUAUUUAUUCCAUUGGUGCUGCAGUGAAAAGGUUUAUUCCUGAAAAAAAAUGAAAAUGUAGGUUGCUUUUUACACUGCUGUUGUAGCUUCCUUGAAAAUGAGGAAUAAGAAGCCUGUAACUAAUAAAUCAAAACCAGAGAUACUUCUUAAAGUUGUCUGAGGAGAGACUCAAAGUUGGUUCUUAAUAAUCUUUGAGAGAGCUAUCAUGGUCGUUGCGGGAGGUACCUGAGGAAGAAAGAAAUGUCAUUCAGUCCUGUCAAGAGCAGCUAGAGGGAGAAUCUGGAGAACUGCAGUUUGUUAAUCCUCACCUUGGUCUGUUGGGGGCAGUGAUAGAGCAACUAAGCCUGGAAGCAGUGUCCAUCAUGAGCAGGACAAGACACUGAUCAAGGAUUUAUGAAGGGAAAGUCAUCCUUCAUUAACCUGAUAGCUACCUCCUAUGUGAUUACUGGCUUGGUGGAGGAGAUGAGAGCAGUGAAUGCUGUUCAGCUUGACUUUAGUAAGGGCAUUGAGGCUGUCACCCAUAACAUCUUCACAGACAAUCUGAAUAACAGACCUUAGGAUUUAGCAAUAUAAAUUAUUUCAAGUAAAGGUUACUAGGGUCUAAGGGGAAAGCGAACUUAGUGAAGAGGAGAGCCUCAACCUGACUGGAAGCUUCUGAAAGAGUGGAAGAAUUUGAUGGCAGCCAGCUAUGAGAGCUGUUGACAAAGACAAGAGGCUAUGGAGAUGACCCUUGACACAAAUAUUUGCAAUUGCCUGGCAUGAAACCUGUGCUGCUGGCAACAGAAGGACAGGGACCCUGCCAUUGCUUAUGCCAGCUGGGGGCAGAGAAGAAGCCAAACCAAGUAGCAAUUCCAUCAGAGUUCAUUUACUCAAGCAGCAGAUGAAAUACAAACCAAACCUGGGGACUCAGGGUAACAAUGUGCACCAAUACAGAUGGGAUUUCACCACAGGAGCCUGGUGGUAAGGCAUAUCUACGAACACAAGUUUCACAAAACUCUUGUUUUGUAAUGUUGGCAAGCAAUUGCAACCAUUUGCUUUUUAUCAGGAAAAGUGAAGAUGAAAUCAUAGCCUGCCUGCUUUUCUUCUUAACUGAAAUGUGCUUUUCAGUCUUCUCUGUGGUGUGCUUUGGUAGAGAAGUGCAGCACCUUCUGCCUGGCUGCCCCACCGCAUACAAUUUCAGUAUGAAUAUCCAGCUAUAUAUAUGUGUGGAGAUCAAAACCUUGUUUCUUAUUCCUCCUAGACCAUUUAUUUUUUUUUUAUUAUUGGGAGUAUUUAAGCAUGGUAACUUAGGGUUGCAUUAUUGCAAUUUAGGAUUGAAAUUCCAUAGUAUAUUCUAGAUGAAUAAUUAAUAAUAAAAUCAAGUAUUCCUAAGGCCCGUGCAUUUUGCGAUACUUAAGCUGGACCAACUGUUAUCCCUUAAUUGUCUUACUAAAACCCAGCUGACAUAAGGUUUAAAGUAACAUUGAUAAUCUGUGGAAAAGGUGAUAGAUAAUGACAACACACUUUACCUGUCUUAUAUGAAUGAACUUACUGCUGUAUCAAGGCUUUUUGCUGUGCAUUCUAAUAAUGCAUUCUUUGAAGCUGUGACAAAUAGCUGCAAGAUUCAAACUUUUACAAGCAAAAGAAUGACUGCAUUGUUAGUCUUCAAGAAAUCCAAGUAGCCACUCUUCUCUCCUGAAUGUGUUUCAUCUCCUGUCUGCAAAGUGUGUGACUUCAUUGUGAAUCCUCUUGAGAUGAAUCUCUGAAAAUCUAAGCAUUGUCUCCAUCUCUUCAGUCACUUGUUGUGUCUCGGUUUUGGAGGAGAACGUAAUUCUUUUUUAUCAGUACACACACACUACCAAAAAGGACCCCAGUUAUUUUUAAAUGAGAUUGAGGUCUUGUACGUGUCAGGUGUGUUGACUGAGAUCAAUUAUGUAGAGGGAGGCUAACAUCACCUGAUGCCUUGAGACUGGUGUUGUGGGUUGUUGAUUUGAAAGAAUUUUACCCUUGGUUAUACUGCGUGGACUAUCCAGAAUCUUCUGUGAUGGUAGUUUUGAUUCUUUUUACCAACACUUAAAGAUGUGCCAAGUCUCUUGCAAAAUAUUUCUGGGUGUUAAUAAACUCACAAUGUUUUUGUUUGCCCUGUUGGGAUAACGCUAAUUAGCUUGGUUUCCUGUUUUAUAUUUGUACAGCAUUUCUUUGCGUCGUGAAGAAACAGCUGAUAAACUCUGGAUUUUAAAAUUAUUUUCUUAAAAUUCAGUUAAAUGAAAUCAUGGGAUGACACUCCACUAUGCGCUCCAAAUACGUUUACCAAUGCCGAGAAAGGAGGCCAUUGCAGUUGGAACAACUCCCACUUGGGGGCAGUGUUGACUGCUACAAUUACCGUCAAUUCCUAUUAGCCCAGGACUUCCCCAGACGUCGUUUUGGAAGUAUUUUGUGAUAUUAGCGUGGCACUAAACAUACAGACACAUGUCUCACAUGCUUAGACCUCACAUAUAAGAAAUACACUUUAUUUCCCUUCAGGAACGGUGUGAGUGUUGCCUUUGUUUGUGGCAGUAUCCAAAGGAUUUUUGGGAAAUGUAGUAUAUCCCAUCUAUCUCACAGUUCCUAUCAUCUGGUUCAGUGUAUUCUCAGUAUACCUUGUACAUGCUAUGAAUAGAUUGUUUCAGAUUCUUUGGAUGACUUACAAAGAACUAUAAUGACUUUAAUCAUACAGAUUGCAAGUAAAAAGGAAAAGCUAUGAUUUGCUCUAGCUGAAAUAGGCUGUUUUGGUAAACAGCAAACAUCUCAGCUUUAUUAGCUGAGUGUUCCUCCUUCUCAUCUUUUUCCUUCCAAGACCAAAUGGUAACGUGUCAUGAUCACACUGACUUGCAGUAGCUUGUUCUGUCAUUGUGUUCCCCUUCCAAAAAUCUUCUAGUUUAGUUUCAAAGUUUUAAAAAUUUCAGCCUGAUAGUAAGCAGGAAAGCUACUUCUUCCUCCUUAGUCAUAUCACAUGCCACUGUUCUAAUUAUACUUCCAUAUUGCCUGGUUUUCUAAGUAGGUAAAAGUUUCAGCUGAGCAUGUUGCGUUUAGACUGUCUAGAGCCUCGCUUUGUAUCUUUACCAACACACAGUAAGGCAUAUUUCCAGCUGGGAAAAGUCCAGCAUGGCUUUUUCAGAACUAAGAUCUGUACCUGGGGAUGCAAAUCUAGAAGCAGCUCAUGCUUUGUAGUGAGCAGUUAGAUAGUUGUCUUCUGCAGCUGUCUUCUGUAGCCAGAACAGAAAUCAGGAGAAAAGCACAAAACCCAAGGGAAACUUGUCCUGCAAGUUUUUUCUGUAUUAUGUGAUCCUGAGAUAUGAUCCAAUUUCUUAAAACUGUAUUUCAAUGAAUGGGAAUGCAGUAGUGUAUCAUAACACGUCUUCCAACAAAGGACAAAGUACUGGUGACAGUGGAUUUUUGUAACCACUUAAAAACAUUCAGGAAAAAAAAAAAACCCACAACAUUUGUGCUGACUGCUGUAGGGCUGAGCUCUUUCUUAAUUUCUUUUUUUAUAGUCCUACCAAGUAAUAACCCCAAGCCAGAGAGAUGGAUCAACUUAUUCCACUGUGCCUUCAUGCAUACCACAGUAGUUGGAGUGCAAUACCCACAUAAACUGUGAAAGCCAUAAUCACCUUAUACCUUAAAACGCCCUAAAAAGCAGAAUAUUUCAUCUUAACAAGCAGUUAAAGUGUUACGAUCUGUUGUAUUGCCCAGGUGUUAAAAUAUCCUGCAUUCAACAUAUAUCAUCCCAGGAGUUAGCAGGUAAAAAAUAGUCGCAAAAACCAAGGUGUUUUUGUUAUGUACGUAGAGAGAUUGAGAGGAAGAUUCUCAGUAGCAAUAUUAAUUGUUCCUGCAAACAUUUUGCUCCACUGUGAGUGGUUCUGAUACAAUAAAUAUGCACAUCUAUGUAACGGAUCUACUAAAUGUAGCAGCCGGCACUGCUUAAACAUUCUCAUAGCUGUGAUGCUGAUGGUUCAUUUUCACCCUCGAUAGCAUUACAUUAAUAUGUCAAUGCUAAGAUCAGUUUCUCCCAGCAGCAGGAUUAUCUGUAAACAUAAUUAAACAGGAUCUGUCCUAAAUCAAGUGUUUUUUUAGAAACCAUUCACUGGAUCUUUAUUUCUGUACCCAUUGCCAAGUCAGAAUAUCUUGAGAACUAUCAAGUGAGCAAUGAAAAUACACAGCGAAUUUUCCAGGUGGGAUUUUACAUACUGCUAAUGCUCUUGAUUUUCAGUAGCAAUUAUCACUAGAGAACUGAGAAGUAUUUCUUUCUCGUCACAGCUGGCUAACUGCACUGCAGAAGUCAAAAGCUUAUUUUAUAUCUUUCCAUUCUCCUGUUGGAUGUGGUUGGCGUUUUAGUGCAAGAUCUUACAGAUCUCUGUCCAUCAAGAAACUGAUCGAGAAACAGCUACGCCAAACUGAUAUUAGCUGCUAUUGCAUGGCAGUGCACGGCACGAAAGGAGCUGAGAGAUGGUCACAUAUGCUCCUUCAGAAAUCCAUCCCAUUCUCUGGAAGGCUGGGACAGACCCUGCUUGUAGUCUCAGGCUGGACCUCUGACUUCUCAUGAACCCCUAAGUCCAUUGCUUUUAUCCCUGGAGAGCCUACUUUUCAGAUGUGUUUCAAAAAAAAAAAAAAAAAAAAAAAAAGUUUUUUUUUACCUACACAAAAUCAUAUAAUCAUAUUCACAACAGGAUCUCACAUGUCAAUUUCCUUACCAGGCUUACUCUUAGCUCAGCAUGAGCUCUGUUCCCUUCCUGGGUCAGAAUGAACGGAUUCUUUUAGUGUCACCCCAAGUCUACUUAUAUAUUUCCCAGAGCCAUCAGUUCAGGUAUAGCAUACCCCUGGUCCCAGGGUAAAAUACAAUUUACUUUUGUUUAAAUGAGGUCCAAAAUAGUUCUGAAUCCCUUUGAAGCAAUAUCAAGUGUCUUAUCUGUGUCCUUAUUUCAAUCCUGUUUUUAAUUCAGUGGCAUAGAUGUUAAUCUAUCUUAAGUAAGACUCAUUGUACAUUCUUACUUUGACGCCAUCUCUUCUCUUUUUUUGAGUGUGGGGGAUCCAAAUGACCUUCCAGCAGUGCUUGACAUGCUAGGCUUAGCUGCUUUUUAAUUACUGUGUGCAACUGCUUCACAAAGAUAAUAAAUUCAUUAUGGUUAUGAAUUGUACUACCAUCAGAAAUAAGCUUGCACAUUAGGCUUCUCUUGCCAAAACCUUUUCGAUCCUUUACAAACCUAGCUGUAAACAAUGAAAGAAUUUAAUGGUCCAUGGACUAGUAGUCCAGGGCAACCUUUUCCUUCAUUAUUUGGAGACAUGGCUUUCCUUCUAUAGCCAAAUAAGCAUAAAAGGCUCACAAAGUUGGAAAUGGCAUGUUAUAUAGGCUUAUGUAGAAUGACUGCAGUCAUUAUGAAAAUCAAUGUGGUAUUCUUUUUGCACUUCCUGGUUCAGUAUUUGUUAUAGACUGAAAUGCUAGUAAGUGAAAUGUUAUGAGAUUCAUUAUGUGUAAUUUUAUAGAUUGUAACUAAACCAUUGGCUCUCGAUAGAAAUUUUAAACGCAGUGCUUUUUGUUAUACAUGAUAUUGAAUAUAAUGUGUACGUCCAAGAUAGUUCAGUCAUGGUUAUGAUUCUGUUAACAGUGAUUAAGUGUGAAAUAAGUUUUCUAUUACUGCAUCAUUUAACAAAUAAGCUGCACAGAGACUGAGUUAUAAUCCAAGAAAUAUUUUCACAUAUGCAAGGAACAAUUGCUAAGUACUGAUGAGCCUGCCAGCACAGAAUGACUGUAUGCCAGAAAAGUAACAAAUGAAACCCUGCUAUAUAUGUUACUGCAUGAACCAUUGGGAAUAUUAUAAUUCUGGGUGUUCCUAACUGGAUGCCAGAGAUCUUGCUUCCUUUGUGGUGGUUAGGGGAAGAUGCAGAGCACUGACUUGCUGGCUUGUACAACUAAAAGAGAGAUGUAACUUUUCUCCUUUAGAUAACCUGGAGAACAUAUGUUUUGCAAAAGGAGGAGAGGGGAGGAAAACAGCAUGGCAACAGCCCGUAUCUUGAUUUAUGCAACUCCCUUUUGAAAGAAGGGUAACCCUUAGGUUCAGGCAGAACCUUCAAGUUAUUUCCGAUACAAACAAAAGUGAGCUCAAAGCCAAAAGAAGAUAAGUUCUUUAAACCUUCCUCUACCUUUUAGUAUGAUUAUUACAUUUGUUGAAAUCUGUGAACUGCAUUGAACAGGAAUACAGCUCAGUAUCACUAUUUCAGGGCUGAGAACCUGGCAAAGGCUUCAAAGCACCCCUAGAUGAGAACACACCGAAUUUCUCUCCACAGCUCUAUGAUACAUUCACAAAGCACAGUGAGACCGGAGGGACCUCUGUGCUGUAGUCCAAGUCCAUCAGUGGGUGUUACUCCAUUUCAAAUCUUCCUCUCUGUUAAGCCAAGCAGAAUCUUAGCAGAAAGAUGUCAGGCCCUUUGCCCUACUGUACUGCUUCUUGAUCUGCAAUAACUCAUGUUUUUUGGACCUGACUUCAUAUGGUUUGCUUGGAAAGAGAGUGGGUGGCAAUUUCUAUACUUGCUGAGCUCUUAGAACAAGUUAUGAAUACGUUGUGAAGUGCUGUUGAAAUGUCCAAUCGUGCCGUUGUUGAUGUGGCUUGUUCUUCCCAGCCCUGCAGCUCUAGGCUUACAGGUCAGUAGCAAGGCACGUGUGACAGGAUCUCACAUGAGACCAGCUGUGGCACUACAUGCAGAAGACAUCUCCAAUACUAGCUCAGUCUCUCAUGGGUCACUUUGACGUGCAUUGUCAAGUAUGAAGUUCUGCAGGUGCAGUGUCAGAGAGAAAAUAGAAAGGGUGUAACACAGUGUAAUGUUCCUACUCUGUAAUUUUUCCCAAGUCACCUUCGUUAAUCAAGAUUCAGAGUUGGUAGCAUAGACUUUAAGUCAUUCUUGGAGAUAACAGCAGUGUUGUCACACCUUCAAUUCCGAUAAAAUAAAGGGAGUUUUACUCUGUGGGGCUCAGAAGUUAAAAAAUGUAGACAACUGUGUGAGCUGGAAGUGCUAAGUGUUAGGGAUUGCGAUGAAAUCUGCAUUCCAGUCAGUGUAAAUGUUCUGUGCUACUCAGUACAGUGCCCCUUUUGGCUCCCUUUAAAGAACUCUGAUGUUGUCCUCUCUUAAAGAUCAUUUGCAAGUUGUAUUAAAUUGUUAGUAAGUUUUGUACAAGCUUCUUUCUUGAUCACCAAAAGCUUCCAAGUUCAAGUGCCUGUGAACAUGCUUUUGGUCCUGUACUAUUGGGAAUCUCUUUUGCCCAGGUGCUUUCUUGGGCAGAACUGCUUAUGAAGAGGGGCAAGGGUUAAGUGACUGAAUAUUUGAUCCCAAUCUGUUGUUUGGGCACAUAGAAACAUUGCUUUUAACCUACAGAAUAGAGAAAGGGGUGAAAUAUGUCUAGCAGGAUGAAUUCUAAAGUUCUAAACUUGGAAUUUUACUGUUAUGAUAGCACUACUCUCAUGCAGGUGACAUUUGGCUUUACAGGUGACUUAAAUUGCUAGAUUCCCUGACAAAAGUCCAGUGAAGAGUGAAGGUGUGAGCUAUGAGGAAAAGUUAGUAUAAGGCAAGCCAAACACAGUUGAGACAGCUCUAGCUAAUCAGAAGAUGGAGUCUUGAGCCUCGUUCAUGGUUUAGACUCACACCUGGUGUAUGGGAACUGUUGAAUCACAGCCUGAACCUCCGAUUGACCACCUGAGGCAAGCACUGAGUCAGCUGCAGGAGCACAGGUGAAGGCAAUUCAGCUGUGUGACCAGAAGGGGUGGAGCCAGGCUGCCCCUCUCCUAGACCCCACUUAGCAGCUGAGUGCCUCUGAGGAAGGAUUUCUUCCUUGUGAUUGCUUGUCAUGGAGUUUUUAUGAGUUUUUGCAACACCAGUGUGCACCUUUCAUUUAUAUCUGGUUAUCUUUUUCAACGUGGUAAUCUUACCAGCCUGACUUCUCUGUAUACUGUUUAACUUCUGUAUUCUUAUUAGCCUUACCCCUGGUAAUGGCCAGACUCUGUAAUGUGAUGUGAGAGUGGGGUGCAGAGGGAUGGGUGGCAACCCUGCCCGUGGCAGAGGGCUGGAACUGGGUGGUUGUGAAGGUCUCUUCCGUCUGUAGCCAUUCUGUGAUUCUUUGGUUUGCUGUUCUUACUUUCUGCUCCUUGCUAGACAAAUCAGCAUUAGUUUUUGUUUCAAAUGAAUGAGCUGCUUGUUUGGCAAUUAGCUAGAUGUUUGUAUUUCCAGCUUCUUAGGCAAUGGGAAAAGGAGAGAGCUAGAGCCAUUUUUUUCAGUUGCAGGUUACUCAAGAGUGCUUUGCAGGCUGGCUGUCUUUUGAAGGAUGAGCUAAGCUCCAUUAUGUUACUACUCUGUUUAAGUAUGAGUUGUAAUCCUCUCGUAGUUGAAAUCUACGAAUACCUGUGUCAUCACUUAUUGCAGAGAGUAGGUGUUACAAAGGUAAUGUGUGAAUUGGAUUAUAUUUCAAAGUUAUAUGCUAAGGGAUGCAGUUUGUCUUGUAAUUUCCAGCAGUUAGAAUCAAUUGAUGGAUGUUAUUUCCGUUGUGAUUGAAAAAGCAUUAGAAAGCACUUCCAAAAAUGUAGCAGGCAGAGCUUGUUCAAAGCACUGAAUUACCUUGUUUUCAGCCAAGGUUCGCUGUUGGCAGACACCCAAGGGUUUGAAAGCGGAAUCCAGUCCGUUCGCUGGUCGAGCCGCAUGGGGUGUGAUGACAUGACUGAAUAUGAGUGCAUCAGAACCUCCGUUCAUUAUCCGCUUCUUACACAUGUAUAUAGAUUGUAGCAAACGUGUGUCAGCUUGUAAUUGGUUGGAGCGUUGUGAGAAGCCCCCUACCUAGCAAUACUAUUGGCCAUGCAUGUUUUCAAACCAUUCCACUGUCUUAAUCUCUUCCCAGGCGAGCUACCCCCUAUCUUAAAUGAAGCCUCAGUUUUUCUUCCUGCUUUGACAGCUUCAAGGUCUCAUAGCCUGGGUUGUGCACAUAGCACCUGAGCUCACAGCCAUUUUAACGAGCUAGUACUUUUCCAUUUGUAUCUCCUGCCAAUUGUUAGGCCUGUUCUGCUCGUACAACUGUUCAAGGGACCCAUGGCCCCCUCGGCUGUGGAGCCAUCCCUCAACAGUUCGCUGUGAUUGUUUUUGGGAGAACAGUAAAAUAAAAGAGCCUCGUAACUUUUCUGUGUGGAAGACAGAACCUUGUCUGGAGAGCUGAGAUUCUGAAGCUCUGUUAAUCCAGUUGUCAUUUUCAGUUCCAAGGCCCCUUCCAUUUUACUAGUGAUCAUCGGUGGCAGAGCAAACUUCUGUUGACUUAUAUCUGAUGUUAUAUUCACUGUCAUAAGUUGUUAAGGAGAUGCAAGAGAUAUGUUUGCUCAAUCUGUAACAGACUGGAAAUGAGUCCUCAGGAAAGAAAAUGUAAGGAUGUUAACAC